GUGAGUCAUCGAAUCUUUGAACGCACCUUGCGCUCCUUGGUAUUCCGAGGAGCAUGCCUGUUUGAGUGUCAUUAAUAUAUAUAUCAACCCUCUCUUGUUGAGUGGUUUGGAUGUGGGGGGUUUGCUGGCUUCUUAAAUGAUUCAGCUCCCCUGAAAUGCAUUAGCAGAACAACCUUGUUCAUUGGCGUGAUAACUAUCUACGCUAUUGGAUGUGAGGGGCAGUUCAGCUUUCUAAACGUCCUUGGACAAUUCAUCAUUAAUGUGACCUCAAAUCAGGUAGGACUACCCGCUGAACUUAAGCAUAUCAAUAAGCGGAGG
Molecule: ribosomal RNA, 318 nt
Filed under: uncultured Cortinarius
Lineage: Eukaryota; Fungi; Basidiomycota; Agaricomycetes; Agaricales; Cortinariaceae
Description: eukaryotic LSU rRNA
Rfam family: 5.8S ribosomal RNA (bases 1-71)
Source: RNAcentral